This 554-nucleotide ribosomal RNA is filed under the name uncultured bacterium. RNAcentral's name for it is "partial 16S ribosomal RNA". It matches the Rfam family "Bacterial small subunit ribosomal RNA", at positions 355 to 900 of the family's 1533-position model. The record is from RNAcentral.
UAGGGAAUCUUCCACAAUGGACGCAAGUCUGAUGGAGCAACGCCGCGUGAGUGAAGAAGGUUUUCGGACCGUAAAGCUCUGUUGUUGGUGAAGAAGGAUAGAGGUAGUAACUGGCCUUUAUUUGACGGUAAUCAACCAGAAAGUCACGGCUAACUACGUGCCAGCAGCCGCGGUAAUACGUAGGUGGCAAGCGUUGUCCGGAUUUAUUGGGCGUAAAGCGAGCGCAGGCGGAAGAAUAAGUCUGAUGUGAAAGCCCUCGGCUUAACUGAGGAAUUGCAUCGGAAACUGUUUUCUUGAGUGCAGAAGAGGAGAGUAGAACUCCAUGUGUAGCGGUGGAAUGCGUAGAUAUAUGGAAGAAUACCAGUGGCGAAGGCGGCUCUCUGGUCUGCAACUGACGCUGAGGCUCGAAAGCAUGGGUAGCGAACAGGAUUAGAUACCCUGGUAGUCCAUGCCGUAAACGAUGAGUGCUAAGUGUUGGGAGGCUUCCGCCUCUCAGUGCUGCAGCUAACGCAUUAAGCACUCCGCCUGGGGGAGUACGACCGCAAGGUUGAAAC